Python bivittatus (Burmese python) is the source of this 361-nucleotide long non-coding RNA. RefSeq lists it as uncharacterized. Lineage: Eukaryota; Metazoa; Chordata; Lepidosauria; Squamata; Pythonidae. The record is from RefSeq and is a predicted model, not a curated record.
UUUCAUCGUUGUUUUUGGGCUGGGCCUGACAGAAGAAAGGAACCAGAACCUAAUAAUGAAGCAAACUGAACCAGAGCUCAUUAAACAAAACCCAAUGAUAACACAAUACAGAAAACGAAGUCAAAAGAAGGAGGAUUUCUGUCCUGCAACUUCUCACAGAACUUCAAGAUCUACUCUGAAGGAUUCUCCCAGCCUCCUGAGUUUAUUUUGUUGGGGGAAAGGAAAAGCAGAGAAGGAACAUCCAUUAAAUGAAAGGACUCAUUUAUCCAACAUGGAAUUCUACCCUUUCUGUUUACAAUUUCUGCUGAUUUAGUGAUAUAUCUUGUGAAAAUUUAAAAAAUAAAAGAGAAAAAAAAAGAAU